Molecule: ribosomal RNA, 484 nt
Filed under: uncultured bacterium
Lineage: Bacteria
Description: partial 16S ribosomal RNA
Rfam family: Bacterial small subunit ribosomal RNA
Source: RNAcentral
AUUGAACGCUGGCGGCAGGCCUAUCACAUGCAAGUCGAGCGGAUGAAGGGAGCUUGCUCCCGGAUUCAGCGGCGGACGGGUGAGUAAUGCCUAGGAAUCUGCCUGGUAGUGGGGGAUAACGUCCGGAAACGGGCGCUAAUACCGCAUACGUCCUGAGGGAGAAAGUGGGGGAUCUUCGGACCUCACGCUAUCAGAUGAGCCUAGGUCGGAUUAGCUAGUUGGUGGGGUAAAGGCCUACCAAGGCGACGAUCCGUAACUGGUCUGAGAGGAUGAUCAGUCACACUGGAACUGAGACACGGUCCAGACUCCUACGGGAGGCAGCAGUGGGGAAUAUUGGACAAUGGGCGAAAGCCUGAUCCAGCCAUGCCGCGUGUGUGAAGAAGGUCUUCGGAUUGUAAAGCACUUUAAGUUGGGAGGAAGGGCAGUAAGUUAAUACCUUGCUGUUUUGACGUUACCAACAGAAUAAGCACCGGCUAACUUCGUG